RNAcentral lists this long non-coding RNA (18018 nucleotides) under Gallus gallus (chicken). Lineage: Eukaryota; Metazoa; Chordata; Aves; Galliformes; Phasianidae. The record is from RNAcentral.
GCCCUCCCCGCUCAGGCUGCGUGGAAAAGCGCUACCGCUUUCAGGCAGUAGCGCGGGGAACGGGCGAGAUGCCAGAAGCCACGCUGCGGCCGCCAGAGAGGCCACAGGGGACGGCUCAGCCCGGCUGCCUGUAUCGCUUGGGGGUACCCGCGCAGCGUCCCCUGGCCGUCCCGAGAGGCUCCACCGCCGUUGGAGCGGCGCGAAUCGCCUUGCCCUCGCCGGGGCCGGAAGCGGAGCCGCGCCGGCGCGGGGACAGCCCACCGCCGCGGGGAGGGGUGCAGCCACCGCCCCCCGCCCGAUCCGGCGCCCCCAGAGGCGGGCGGCCAUCGCCCGCCAGCCCGCAGCUUGUCGCGCAGGUCUAGUCCGCCGCCAUGCCGGGGCCUGUACCUGCGCUGGAAGUCCCGCUCGAAGGGGGCCAGCAGUUUAUAACUACACACAAAAAAAUCCAAGUACUUUUGUCUUACAGAGAACUAAAAUUGUUCUCUGUCCUAAGAAUCAGUGGCUCAGUAUCUGGAUGGAGAUCAGUAGUAAGCGGUGUCCCUCAGGGAUCAGAACUGGGAUGAGUGCUGUUUAAUAUCUUCAUCCAUUACAUGAACAGUAGGAUCAAGUGCACCCUCAGCAAGAUUGUGGAAGAUGCCAAGCUGUGUGGUACAGUCAGCACAUCUGAGGGAUAGAAUGCCAUCCAGAGGGACCUAGACAGCUGUAAGCAGUGGACCCAGGUCAACCUCAUGAGGUUCGAUGAAGCCAUGUGCAAGGUCUUGCACCUGGGUCAAGGCAACCUCCUCUAUCAGUACAAGAUGGCAGUGAAGGAAUGGAGGACAGCCCUGCAGAAAAGGACUUGGGGGUACUGAUGGAUGGGAAGCUGGACAUGAGCCAGCACUGGGCCCUCACAGCCCAGAAAGCCAACUGUAUCCUGAGGUGCAUCAAAAGAAGUGUGAUCAGCUGGUCAAGGGAGGUGAUCCUGCCCCCUCUACUCUACACUGCUGAGAUCUUACCUGGAAUAGCAUGUCCAGGUGUGGACACGCUCCUCAGUACAAGAGAGAUGUGGACCUGUUGGAGGGUCCAGAGAAGGGCCACAGAAAUGAUCCAAAGAAUGGAACACCUCCCCGUGAGGACAAGCUGAGAGAGCUGGGGCUGUUCAGCCUGGAGAAGAGAUGCCUCUGGGGAGACCUGAGAACAGCCUUUCAGUAUCUAAAGGGGGGCUGUGAGAAGUAAGGGGACAGACCCUUUAGCAGUGCCUUAGCAGGGUCUGUUGUGAUAGGACAAGUGGAAAUUAUUUCAAACUAAAAGAGGGGAGACUUAGACUGGAUAUAAGAAAGAAGGUUUUUUACAAUAAGGCACUGAAACUGGUUGCACAAAGAGGUAGUGGCAGCCCUGUCUCUGGGGACAUGCAGGGUUUAGACUGGACAGAGCUCUGAGCAACCUGAUCUAGUCGGUGUCCCUGUUCACUACAGGGAGUUGGACUAGAUAACCUUUAAAGGCCCCUUAAACGAUUCUAGGAUUCUGAGAAAUUGUUACAUAACUUGCCUCGGUGUCUACCAUUUCUUCAGUCUCAGUCAGGACUGAAAACCUGUUAUAUGCCUCAGAACUGUCUGUGUAGCAGUGAUUCCCUUGUCUGUGUUAAACUGAAGUUUAAUAACUCUAUCUUAUUUCUGACAUCAUGCUAUGCACAUUAUGUUUUCUUUUGCAAACUGUCUCUGACAUUCCCAUAGUUAUCUGGUUGGGCAAGCAAAGAGGGGAGCAAAUCCAGCUGUUAAUCAAGAGCCAGGAACUUGUUUUUCACAAUAGCUAGCGUUUUACCUGUACUGCUGUUUGAGGCUUCCAGCUGUAAUGGAGAGGUUGCCUGCUGCUCACGAGGAAGGAGGGGGGAAAUCCCUGCAGUCUUUGAAUAUACUACCAUAGGAAACAGGAGCUUCAUUUUAAGCACAGUCUGUUUGGUUUUCUUAAUUAUCAGAAAGCUCAACAGGUUCAGAGUGCCAUUAUUAGCUAUUUGGCAUAGACACAAGAGAGAGAUUUAUAAAUUGGCAUUAGCAAUUCAUGUAAACAGUAGGAAUAUUGCUGUGACUUCGAGCUCCCUGGAGACAGAGACCCUUUCUUAACCUUUGUUUGUGAGAUUGUAAGCAGAAAUAACACAGUACCCAGACUCGCAUCCAAGCAUCCUUGAAUGUCAGGAAGUUAAAUUCUUCAAGUAGCCCCAAGUGCUAUAUUUAAUACCUUGUGAAUUGGGAAAUUGAUAACCAUUCUAUUUGUAUCCAUUCAUGUUCAAGUUUACAACUGAGGUGUGAUUUUAUCUGCCUGCUCAAAGACACAAAGGCAUAUAUUACUGUGAUCUAUUCCAGUGUGAUCUGGCUGAGACUCUAAGGCUGAAUUUGGCUCUGAGGACAUUGCCAUUUAGUCUUCUACCUAGAGGCAAAAAAAGGGCACUCGAAACAAUAAAUGUUGUUGCAGUAGAUGAAUGCUUCUUUGUGUAUUUGUCUGACAUCCACCCAAAGAUAGCAGCUGCCAGUAGAGAUAGGAAGAAGGGGUGGAUGGUAAUAACUGCUCUUUUGGGGGACAGUAAUGGAUCUUAAAGGACUGGCAUCUGAGGCAUGUGUCUGGCACCCAGCUACCACCAAGAACAGAGUAUAUCAAACCACUCUAAAUUUGUCUUUCAAAGGAUGUUUAUUAUUAAGUUGUGUAUACUUUAAAAUGUUGCAUAGCAGUGCUAUGCAAUAACUAGUUACAAUUCUUAUAAUAGUUUCUGUACGAAGUUCAAAAAGAAAUCCAAGUUUUGUAUUGAAGAACAUUCAAGAACUGACUACUCACGUAAUGCACUACAGCAAUUUUCAUUUUCUCAUAUAUUGCUCUUACUUGCAAAAGUAGACAGAGAUGCUAAACUGUAGGAACAGGGUUCUUUCUCUGAAGCACUGGUUCAAAUUCUUCCCACCAUCCUGGCUCUCAGAUUGGCCAGAGACCACCUCAUGGUGUUAGCUGGAGCCUGCAGGGAGACAGACAGGACAGUUGUCAAGGGUACUGUGUAACUAGUUUUCCUUCCACUAUAGGCAUAAAAGGGGCAUUGCAAACAUACAGUACAUUUCUUAAAUAUCACUAAUCUACAUAGUCUUUACAGGUAGGUCAGACAUUGGCAGUUGAGAUUAUACAAGUUUUUUAUUCCUGUCUUUGAGCUUUCCAAGGCUCUGCUGAGAUGCAGAAGGAGGAAAAAUGGGCAGUGUUGCACAGUUGCUGAAUCUCAGCAGCAUGUCAGUUCUUUAAUUAAAACAUUAAAAAGUUUUGCAGUUUUUGUAAGGAUUCAACUAUUAAUUAAUUACUUAGGAAAAAUAAAGGAUAUAACAUUGAAAAUUACAGCAAACAUUCCAAGAAUCCAUUAGUCUAUCCCUUAAUUAGUUUAUGGUUUGGGGGGUUUGUUUUUGUUGGCUUUUUCUCUGUCAGUUUGUUUUAGGAAAUUUAUUAUUCAUUGAGAUUGUCUUUUUAGGUCUUACCAUUGCCCUCGUAUGGUAACAGGAUCUUUAAAUAGAAACACAUCUUUAAAGAUCAAAAGUAAUCUGAAAUCUAAACUACUAAAAAGCCACUUUCAGAGUUGUCAAAUUCCACUAAAUGCUUUUGAUAGGAAUGCUAUUUGCACUUAGCAUACAGAACCAAAAUCACACUGUAGCAGCAUGAAAGCACUAGAUAAUGGCUGCUUUUUGCUUUCAUGUUACUGAAGUAUUACUAUGAUCUGGUGUCCCCAUGGAACACCUCCCUUGUAAGGACAGACUGAAAAAGCUGGGACUGUUCAGCCUGGAGAAGAGAAGCCUCUGGGGAGACUUGAUAGCAGCCUUUCAGUGUCUGAAGGGGGGCUGUAAGAAAGAAAAGGACAGACUCUUUAGCAAGGUCUGUGGUGACAGGACAAGGGAAAAUGGUUUAAAACUAAAAGAGUGGAGAUUUAAAUUGGACAUAAGGAAUUUUUUUGCAAUAAGGGUGGUGAGGCUCUGGAACAGGUUACUCAAAGAUGUGGUGGAGUCCCCAUCUUAGGAGACAUUCAAGGACCUAUAAAGGUCCUUUCCAACUUAAAAGAUUUUAUGAUUCAUUACUACUUAGUAAGAAUAUUUUACUUCAUGUUAUUACAUCACUUCAAUAAUACUCCAUAUCUUUUUGUUUGUUUUGCUUUGGUUUAAUCUCUUCUUUGUAACAAACAGAUAAAUAUUUAUAAUUUAAAUAGCAGUUUAAUUACAAUCACAUAUAAGGUUAAUUUUGAGUUUUCUGAGUUAAUGUUAUCCUACUUCAGCUGGAAUUAUGGAUUAAUGUUUCUCAGUUUCCAAUGCCCUUCGUUUUUUGGUGUCUCUUUGAGUUUUUUGUUAAUCUCUCAAAAUUCUCCCUGGAUGUUGGAUUCAGUCUCCUAAUUCCACUGAAGAAACAUUUGAUAUCUGAUUUUAGUUUAACUAACCACUCUGUGCAGAUAUUUCUCCCAUUCUGCAUGAUCAGCUUCUACAGCAGGGCUCUCAUAUAAGUUCUGGUUUCCACUGCUUUCAUAUUUCAACUUCUUUGUUAGCACUUCAUUCUGUUUGUGUAUGCUUAAUCAGAAUAACCUUUUAAAUUGUACAGAUUUCAGCUUGUGCCAGUAUUCAGUCUUUCUGCAUUAUGUUCUCUUCUCAGGCAACAUCCAGGCUUGUCAUUUUCCAAUUGUCCAUUCAUUCCAUCAGGACAGUAGGCCUUCCCCAAUGAUCAAAUUGUAAUUUGAAGUCUGUAAAGGUGAAGUGUAAGCCUUUUUGGCUGCAGCUGAGAGGUAUGAAUAGCCUUUUUCCUUAUGUCAGUCUUCAGUUAGCAAUCCAGUAGAGGCCUUGUUGGAGAUGCUCUUCCAGUAUAUUGAAUCUUUUCCAGUUUCCUCACUAUAUGUUUGUGCUAAGUUCAGCUGCUUUCUUACUACACUAUUUCUUACCACUGCAUAUAUGCUUUGCUGCUGCAUCUUACCUUGUCAUAUCCCUUUUGCCAUGUUUCCCUAAGAAGAAUGUUUGAGUGUAAAUACUGAUAAAAAUAACAGUGUUACAGCUUCUGAGUCAUCUGCUCACUUUGGUAUUUUUGAUUUUGCUGUUUAUUAUCUAUGAUGGCUGACAUCGCUUCUCCCCUCAUAUAUGCAGCUAGCUCAUUCCAUGUUGUUCUGGUAUCUGCAGGCCCUAAAACUGUCUGCACUCCAGGCCAUCCCUAUAGCUAUUUAAAUACAUCUGUGUAUUUAAACAUUCAAGGCUUGUUAAUUUCUACUGUGCUGCCAUGCACAAAACACUAAACAGAGCCUGACAACUUUUUCUGCUUCUAAUAUGUCUCUGCUUUCUUUUGGCUUAUGACCAUCAUAGUGGUAUAAUCAUUCAAAUUCUGGUCUUCCUUCUUAAAUCCAGACAGUGUUAUGCAUCCACUCAUAAUAAUCAGUUUCUAGAUCUUUUGAAAGAAUCUAGAAAGAAUUUUGAAAGAAUUUGAAAGAGCCCAAAGAUUUAGUCCCUGCUUAAUACCAUUUCCUCACCUCAUCUAUUUCUUCCAAAAAAAAUAAAAAUGGAUAGAUUUCCUAGGAGCAGAGUGGGAAUGUCCAGCAGGGGACUGGGUUUGUUUUUGUCCUACCUAAGAAUCACAGAAUUAUAGAAUCAUUAAGAUUGGAAAAGGAAACUAAGAUCAUCUAGUCCAACAGUCAACCCAACACCACCGUGCCUUCUGAACCAUGUCCUCAGAGCCUUGGUUCCCCUGUCAAUGGUCUUGUCCUUCACUAAUCAGCUAUAAGAGAAACAAAGUCUCUGUUCAGCUGAUUCACAGGAAGGGAGCAGACACAAAGAUCUCUGAUCACCUAGGGCUAUGAUCAGAGGCUUUUAAAGCAAUCUUUGGGCCUCCAUCCAGUGUCCACCUAGUGUCAGUUUGCCAGACUGCCACAUUUUCUUUCUCAGAUUUUCAGCAGCUGGCAUCCACCACAAAGACUGCUGCCUAUCUACAAGAGAUUAGUACACUGUAAAUGAGAAAUGCUUCAAAAAGUCUUCCAUGCCUUUGUCCUCCUCUAUUAAAACUUAGUCUCACAGACCACAUUGAGAUCAUCUACUGUUAUUUUUCUGUUAGUCUUUGUCUGGCUCUUUAACCUUUGCUGUUAAAGCAUUGGUUUAUGCAAAUAGAGAGAUUUCUUCAUUGAUAAGAUUGUUAUCCAAAUUAUUAGUAAUCUUUGUUUUUUCCCUCUUUCCCUGUUUCAGCUGCACAUUUAAAAUACUGAAAUGCUCAUACAGUUCACAAAUUCUCUAUUGCUUCUUGGCCUGUGCAAUCCUUCAGCUGUCUCCUCAGUAACUCUUAUGUUGUCUUCUGUUUCAACACAUGCACAAGAAAAACUCACAAAGGAUUCCAUCCUGGGAGCUGAGUCAUUCUCUAAAUCAAGAACUGUCAUUCUCUGUACAUAAAAUAUUCCUCUGCAGAGCUUAAGGGCAAGUAUUACAUAUAUGAUUUUAUGUUGAUUUUUUUUUUUUUUUUGCUUUUCUUACAUUAAAUUACUUGCUUAUCUGACUCAAAAUACCACAUUAUUUAGCUGUACACGCCAAAAUUUUCUUUGCAUUCAUAUAAUUACAUAAUGUGUUACAUAAUGCCAAAAUGUUAGUCAUUCUUGUGUUCUACUUACUUAUUUGAUAGUCAUUUCAAAAAAUGCACUCACAUUUUCACUGGUUUUGUAUUUACACCUAAUUCCCUUGAACUUUAACUACUUUCCUCCUAUCUGGGAAACCUCCAGUCCUUGAGGAACAUGAUCUGUACAAUCAGAUUGUUAGUCCAGUCACAUCUCUAAAAGACAGUCAUGGUGAAUCGCAAUCUAGCUUUAGUCAUCUGAGAUAGCUAACAUUUAAAAGAGCUGACUAACAGUGACAUGUAUUAGACAUGGAAAAAAACAAGACUGACUAUUUAUUUCUUACCCUUUUCCUAGCACUAUAAAGUACCUUACACAUUCUUUGUGUUUUUAAGUAAACAUUUUAAAUUAAAAAAAAAACUAAAUCUUAUGUCUGUGAUUGCCAAAAAUAAAUGCUUUAGUAGGUUGAAACCACUCUAGCACUAUAAGUUAUUAACAUUAUGCUUUUCCCUGUUUAUGUCCAAAUUGAUGUGUGGGUUACAGCACUGAAUGAGAUUUAUACAAAGAUUUCUGAACACCUCUGUCUUGAGUUUUAUUAUACUGCGUGAAAUAAAACUCUUCAGCUGAUUUCUCCAGCAUAAUUCUUUUCAUGCGUUAAAAAUUGUCAUGUUAGCUCUGUUUUUAUAAAUAAUGCCUUUAUUAAAUUUGUAAUCUUCUAGCCUACUACCUUUUUAUUCCCUUUUCUUUACUUGCUCACAUACUUAUCACUUUUUCUUUCAAUGUGUUUUGUUUUGUCCUUUUAACUCUUUGUUUUACAGUAAGUCUUAUUGCGCUGCUUUCCUUCAGGAAUUUAUAUCUGCAUAGAAGAAAAUUGAGCCUCAUGCCAAUAGAUGAGAUAGACUUUAUGGCUUCUCCAUGAUCACACCACAUAUUGGUAAAAGCAUGGAACUGUGAAAUAUGAGAUGCAAAUGUCAAAAUAUUUCUUUGUUUUUGUAAGGAGUUGCACAAGGAGUCAUUCCUUUUCUGUACAACAAAGUAUGGGUAUUCAUAACUGUAAAAAAAGCCACGCUACCAAGAAUAGAAAAAAUAAAUGCCAUUUGUUGUUUGUUGUUUUGUUUUUCUAAUUUCCUUUCUGUAGAAUGUAGCAUCAAUAUUCUCAAAAAAAAAAAAAAAAAAAAAAAAACCAAAAAACACUAGAAUGACUUUUAGGAGACCAAGGAGAAAAUUCAAUCCCUCUUUCCCCCAGUGUUGCUUGAUUUGCCCCAUCUCCUGGACCAACUUUCAAAUAGGUGACACUAUAGGAAAGCACUUUAAGGAAUGGAGAACCAGUACAGCAGUGGGUAGGACAUUGUUCUCAGCUGCGAAGUGCAGUGGUCUUCAACAAUGAUCACUUUGGAAUCAGUAUUUAAUUUAUGAAAUACACACAACUCCAUAGAAACGAUGCCACAGAUUUCAAACAGCAUUGGAUCAAACUUGUGAGAUAACUGUAUUUUAACCUUGAACUGACCCCGCUCCUGCUCACUGUAUGAUCUGCUUUGUCUUAACCCUAUCGUCUUUAGUACUUUUGAAAGUUCAUCUGUGUCAACAAGGCAAAAGCAAAACUCUGAGAACAGCUUUAGUUCUUUUUCUUUCCAUGUCUUACUACAAAAAAUAAAAAUAAAAAAAAAAAUAAAUUCCCUGUGCCUGUGCUAUUUCUCUUGUUAUUACAAUUUACUUGAAGAUCAGUGCAUAUCUGCAUAAGACUCUUAAAUUGCUAAACAAACAAACAAAAAUUGAAAAAAACAUAGAAAUAGAAAUCUUCUAUAGUGCUUUUAUCAAAGCAUUUCCACAGAAAUGAUGCAUAUCUAGCUCCUAUGGUUCUUAACAACUUUAGCUCUUUAUAACCUUAGCUCUUUCAGGAUGUGAAAACAGUAGUCAUACUGCAGCAUAUGCUAGAGAGCACCCCAAUCUGUCCUAGGAUGCCAAAAAGGGGGAGAAAAGGAAUCCCCAACUAAGAAAACUUAUACAUUUUACUGAAUGGGAAGCUUAUUGUAGAGUUUUUGCUAAGCCAUUACUAUGGCUCUCUCACUUUGAAAUAGAACAUAAAAGGGUUUCAGCAUCAUGAAAAUCAAAAUACAGCCACCUGUUUUUGACAAUUCUCCCCCACACACAGAAAGUACAUUUAUUCUUUAUAUGCGUAUUUGUUUUGCAUGCUGUGGCAUUCUCUUACCAGACUUCUCAGUUACAGAAACAUGUCAGUUAAAAAUUAUUUUUACUACUCGCAAAUGCAUAUUUCAACUGGUACAUGGAACCAUUAAAAGUUUUGCUACACAGCAGCACCUGCAGAACUAAAUAAUUUUCUGCUCCUACUGUGAAGAGAUACCUCUAUUAUUGUCAGUGUGGUAUGGUAAACAUUGUAAUUCUGAACAUGCCCAUGGUACUGUGUGGCUGAUACUGUUGGAAUGCUCCAUGCCACAGAUCCUAUGUAUCAGCCAUCAGUCACUUCUAAUGUCAAUCUGUUGCUUUCUCCUGGAAAUAACUGAUAUAAUCUCACUGUAGUUUCUAUUAUAAGUCCAAUUUGUCCAUGCUCAUUAUGCAUAUAAACUCCUUUGCAUCAGAAUGAGAAUAUGAUGAAGACAGACAUAUUGAUACAUACUUAUCAAUACAUACACCCAAAUACAUGUUGUCUCUAUAAAAGCAAUAAUACAAAUGUAUUAUAUUCAGCUUUAAACAGAACUUUGGUAAUGUAGUUGUAGAUAUAUUGCAUAUUGCUUUUGGCACUACUAAAAAUAAGUCAUUUGGAUUAACCAUUUUCAAGAAGUACAUUUUAUAACUGGAACAUAUUUAUUCAAGUUCUCUUUUGGAUUAAUGCAAUUUGUCUGAGAGCAUGCACUAAUUUCUGUUCUCAGCAUAGCCUUGGGAGGUUAAAAAUGUUAAAUAUGAUUCUUUGCAGGUUUUAAUAUAUCAUCUUGCCUUAUGAAGAGUUGAUUAUCACCACCCAGUGGUGCUUACAUACUGAUAGAAUUCAUGAUUAUAUGUAUCCAAAGUAGUACCAAGAGUACCAUACAAAAGAACUGACUAUAUUCUAUGUAAGUAGCUACUUAAUUGUAGUCAGUAUCAUAAAAUAUUGACGAGUUCUCAUUCUCUUAAAAAUUGGAGCUUUUUGGUCAAGCAAACUGCUUUUCCUUGGACAAAAUUUAUUGCAGUAAGUUGCUGAACUGAAAGUUUAAUUUAAGUUGUAAAAUUGAAAAGCUCUUGUAAUUGAAAAUGAAAAAUAUGGAGUAGUCUGAAUGCACGAAUGAGGAGUAAAUUACAGAUAAAAGGACUGACUAGAGAGGAACCCAUACGGAUAGUUGGAUGUUUACAAAUUACGUUUUAAUGUAAGAUGUAAUUAUAACUUUAUUUUUCAUCUUGAUUCGUUUUCAUUAUUUUCAUGCAAACACAGUGGCAGUUACACAGGAAAGCCAAAUACAGUCUGUAGAAAUUACUUCGGCCAAGUUUAAACAAAGUAUACUGAAAAAUGGUCUCAUAUUUUCACCUGGGAAAACCUUCUAUUUAGCAUUUAUAGCUCUCUACUGAAGGGAAGGAGUACCAGUAAUUCAUACUGCCAGUCUAUCAAAAUCCUGAGCUUUCUCUAUAAAUUGAAAAUACCAAGUUUUUUCGCACAGUUUAUAAAUAUAUUAGACUGCCUAUACAUCUUUUAUGAUUUAUCCAUUCACUUCUCACUGGUAUAAAGCUAAAACAAACUGACUUUUAAUUGUAGCCUUGAAACUCAGAAAUGAAAAGUAUAAAAAUAGGUGGAACUAAUCAUCUAUUGCAGAAAACUGAGGGCAGUUCUAAAGUUCAAGAAGUUUUUUUAAAAAAUAAAAUGAAUGUAGUCUUUAUGAGAAAUGUCAAUUUUAUUCUGGGCAACUGCAGUCAAAACAUGAGGGUUUUAGCUGGAGCAGUUAAGAACCAUAUGCUCAGAAAACUAAAAGAAGGAAAUAAUAGUUUUGGAAAAAGGUUAACAUCUUGACAUUAAAUUAUGGACUUUAAUAAAAAUUAUGAUAUGUUUUUAUAUGAUCAGGUAUAACUGACUGCUAUGGCAGGUAAUAAAACAGAAAUGAAAAGACUCAUUUCAUCUGUCAGUCUCUGGUUGCAGUAGAGCUCUGCAGGAAACCUAAAUGUGUGGGUCUUUGAACUGACCUAAAUAGCUGUGCGAAAUAAACCUGCUUUGCUUUCAAGCCUCAGUGCUGGAGAUAAAAGUAUCAUAUUCACUCUGGCUUGUUUUGUUCAAUAGUAUAGAAAACUUUAGUCCCAGUUUCAAACAAUAGCUCCUGCCUUUUAUAACCUGUUCUGCAGGUUUUUAAUUGAAUAUUUUUUAUUCAUGAAACUAAUUACACAUAUGUAUGCUUCUAUAAUUGCAGUGUGGUCCUUAAACUGUAUAAAUCAAAUUUGUCUUUAUGGGAUGCAGCUUUAUUAGAUUACUAUUACUUUGGAAUGAAUUUAUUAUUAUUAUAAUUAUUUAGAAAAAUAAUACUGCGUUUGUGUAAUCAAUAACCGUAAUUUUAUAGAUUUUAAGCCUUUAAAAGAAAUAGCAAAUCAUUAACUGUAAAUAGGACAAACUUUUUCAAUGAGUGCCUUUCUUCUAGGCAUCUAAAGCUGCUUAGAACAGUCUAAUGGCUUUUUUUUUUUUUUCCCUGCAAUGUGACUAAAUAGAUAAAGUCAGUGGGAGAUAAGUACCUAACUUGUUAAAGAUCUUUCAAAAUCUCAAUUGGUGUUCAUCAAAAUCAUUAGAUGUUGAAAUCCCUUAGGGGAAUCUGGAUCUAAUUCUCUCUACAGCCAUUUAUAUGUGGCUGAUGUGAUGUAUACAGAAAGUGUCAGUGCAGUUUCUGCAUAAAGUUGUUAUUUUCAUAACCAUGCACAGCAAAUGCUAUGCCUUUCAAAUCUCCUGCAAUAUUAGCAUGGUCCCUCAACUGUCUUACUGCUAUUAAAUGGGUAAAGAUGCUCAUACUAUCAAAGUUCAUUUCCACACUGACAAGGAAAUGACUGUACUGAUAUUGGGCAUAUGCAUAAUGGUGCAACUUCACUCAAAAAUGGGAUAUCCAUAACCCAAAAAUUUAAAAACUACAUAACAAUCUUAUACACCAAUCCUAUCAGUUCUUACAUUUAAAAACUAUCUGUACUUCACUAUAAAGUACCAUUAAAUCCACCUGUGAUUUUAGGCUCAAUGUCAGGUAUGUAAGUCAGCCAGAACUUCACCCCUCACACCUAAGGCUGAAAACUUGUCUUAAACUGACAUGCCUUUAUUUAUGUACUUUGGGAUUCACUUGUUCAAAGAAAGAGGUUACAGUAGUCAAAGCUUCACACAGAAACCUUCAGAUUUUUUAUAGCACUGCUACGCUGAUGUGACAGAAUACUGCAUGAUGAUAGAAGAUAAAAGCUAAAUGGUGUUCUGAUUAAUACAAAUACAUUAUUUUCACAUACCUUUCCAAAACAUUCAGAAAAUCAUUAAAUACAUUUUACUUUUCCAGAGAGAUUAAAAAAAUUAGCUCUCAGGUGAUUUUUUCUGAUUAUUUUUACUAUAUAAAUGAAAUUACAAAAAGGACAAUUGUCCAUUUAAGAAUAUUUCUUACCGUGCAUUCCACUGAACAAGUUAGCUAUUUAUCAAAGAAAAGCCAUAGGUCUUUGUUAAUAGAACUUUAGAAAAUAUGAAUGCAAAACAUUCUUUUUUCCUUGCAUAUUACAUAAAAUAAACCUUAAACAGAAAACAUAUUCCUUUCCUAUUCAUUCCAGAUUUGUGAAUCAAAUUCUGUUUGGUAGUUUUAUUACAUCUCAAUAUCAUGAAGAAUUCCACAAAAAGAGAGGAAAAAAAAAGUGGUCCUUUUUUACUUUAUGUAUAUAUUUGUGACUUGCUGAAUCAAGCUUGCCAAUCUAGCUGCCUAAUAUUACCUUAUCAGAUGCAGUAAAUAUGUUAAGAGCAUUAAUACUGACAUUCUUGCAAUGCAAAUUAUGCAUCAGAUAUAAAUACAUGAUAUCACAUGCUUACAAUAGCGAUUAAUUUGGAAAUUGCAAAAUAUCUUCAUACAGAAAUAAUAUCCACAAAUUUUCAGUUUUUUCUUUGAAUGAUACUAUCAUUACCUUCUAAUGAAAACUCCAAGUAAAAAGUUCUUUGCAGCAUUGUUCUCAUCUUGUAACUGGAUUUGAUUUGCUUAAGAUUUUAACAUAUUCAUUCUUCUGCUGGCUACCAAAAUUGAUGUUAAGAACAAAACUCUAGAAAAGAUAAAGAGGAAAGUAAAGAAGAGUGAUGUCAGUUGAAUUUUCUUUUACAAAUACACCUAGAUACAAAAGGAGCUACGUGAAUGAUCUCCAAAUGAAAAAAUAUCUAGUUGUCUAUUACAAAAUAUCAGAAACCAAAUACUGCAUUCUGUUCUUAGCUGCAAUGCUUUGAAAAUAUAUCAAAAAUGAAACACUGCAGCACACAUUGGCCAGAGGUGUGACAUCACUGGAGAUUAUGUAUUUUGCAACUCUGAUGGCUGCAUUGAGAGCAGACUGGAGAACAGAAAUUACAGACGUCUACGUACACAUUCUGAGGAAAACUUCCAACACUAUUCACUGACAGUUAAUAAGAUCAUAACUGAGUUUAUCAUAUGGGUCUAUUUUCCCUGUUAUACAAAUAUCUAAAGAUUAUCUGUCUGUGUAGUUAGUCUUUCUGAUGAUAUGAUGCAUAAUUUUUGAUUAUUUGAUUGUUCAUCUCUUUCAGUAAAACAGAAAUAAUUUGAGUUUUGCAGGUUGGAAAGGUAAUCCCCCCCCAAAAAAAAGAUACAUUUUAAGCCUCUUUACAAGCUGUAGAAUGAUAAAUAAUUUUUAUGACGGGAGCUAUUGCCAUUUCUCAAAGGCUGCAUGAGAAAUAGUUUUUAAAAAUAAAAAUGUAAGUGCUGGGAAAACAAUUGAAAUGCUCUGAGUCCUUUACGAUCAUACUGACUACAUUCAGGUGAUAAUCAACAUCCAAGAAUUAGCAGAGAAAGAGUAAAGCAAGUCUUUCUUAUGCCUUGCUACUGUUUGCAUUACUGUCUGAAUCAAGAGGAAGAUGAUCAUAAGUUACAACUACACAUUUCACUGGCAAAUACCAUUUAAGUAUUUAAAAGAUCUUAAUUUUGCUGAUGAUGUUAAUCAGCAACAGAAAUACAUGUGGUUGGUGUUUUUUGCCUUUUUUUUCCAAUAAGGGUGUAAGAAAUGUAUGCCUGUAUACAUCACAGAUAUUGUUUGAAAUAUCAAGUUUUUUUUGCUUACCUAGAAAGUCAUAGGUGCAGUAAUGAUGACACCAGGCAUACAAUAGCCCAUAACAAAAUACUUCAUAAACUUGAAAUAUUUUGGCCACAGUAGCACGACCAGAACUAACACAAAAAUAAUUUCCAAUAUCUCCUCUCCUUCUCUAGAGAUGUUCCUAGAACUUAUCCUGGAAUGCAUUGUUCUUAUGAGGGAAGUCUUUAAAAUACAUUCUAAAGAACGCACUGUGUCUUCCGGAAGUCUUCUGGAGAGCAGAUAAACUGAAGACAUCCAUCAGAUGUGAAACACAAAUAGUUACACUCCAACUUCCACAACAGAUUCAAUCUAAAAAAGAGAAGAGAGACUUCCUAAAGUCACAGGAAUCGCAAGGAAAAUGCCUUUAUCAUCACAACAAGGCUCAAAAGUCUAAGCAAGCUAAUCCAAGCCCAAAAUAUGUCGUAAUCUGUGGUAAAUAAUCUUGAAUAAGUACAAGAUAAAGACAGACAUAUUGAAAGCACUGUAUGCAUUUUUGUUACCAAUAGGAAAAGAAUGUAAUUUCAACAUGGGUUACACUUUUACUUCUGAAUGUUAUUCUCCCCCAUAUCGUGAACAAGAAUGGAGAUUAAAAAAUAGAAGUCACUCACAAUAUCAUAAAUAAAGUGUGAUAGUUUGUUAAUUUGUGUGUAGUAUAAGUGAAUGCAUGUAAAAAGAACUAGAGAUUAAAAUUCAUCCUUUUGCAGUGUGAAACUGGUGGCAGACUUUGAAAACAAUUUACUUCAGUAAUAAAUAACAAACCAGACAUUACCAUGGCAACAAUAAUAUUGGAGAUGCAGUACUUUAUGAAAUUGUUGGGUUAAAUGAACUUUUGUAAAACUCACUUGGUUUGAAAGUUUUCUCAUUACUUAAUUUUCUCUAAAAAACUUUAAAACAAGUGAAAAUGUGAAUACAGCUACUUUUUUAUACAGGUAAGGCUACAAGCUUCUUAAGGUGUAUGCCUAUAAAUCCAAAUUCUAACACUCACCUCAUUAUUUGUAUUGAUGAGGCAGAAUUCAGCUGGAUGUGGCAGUAGUCCCAGAGGACUUUAUUUCCAGACCACUGGCUAUAAAAACUAGCAGUACUCACAAAGUAGUGGAAUUUAACCACCCUGAUCUGACACAAAACAUUGGCUCAGGAUGGUCCUUGAUAUACUCCAAACUUGUAAGAGGUCUGAAAUGUACAGCAACAGGAAGACUGAAGGCCAUUCUGACCUAUCACCCUUGGUAAGAGCAGUCCUGUAGUUUCAAAACACUACCACCAUCCUUGCCACUAGAGUUAUAGCCAGAGUAACAUCUUUGACUUGGUCUUCUCUGUGUCUCAGCCUGACUGUUAUUCUUCUGGUUCACAUUUCUAGUUACAUCACUGCAUCUGAGCUGACUCCCUAGAAACUACAGAUAGAUGGAGCUAGAUAGUGUACCUGGGCAUCUCAAUUGGCACUCACUGUCUAAGUUUUAGCAAUGAAGUCUCAUGCCUGUUUUGCAGAAAUGGGCAAACACCAUUUUGACCAUUAUCACUUCACUGGUUUUGUUUUCAAUUUUGUUAAUUUACUGAUUCAUACCUCUUGGGUUACCCAACUUACCUUCCUAUGUCUUAACUGCUCUGUGGAUGUCACUUGCUGUAGCAGCACUGGUCUACAAGCACAUAGAAUUUGCUUGAUUCAGGUACCAUCAUGUAGCCUCUUUCAGUAGAGAAGGGUAUGCUUCUCAAGACAAUGAAUCCAGUAUCAUGGUCCCAGUGUCUUGUUUGCAUACAAACUUAACUAGACUGUGGGCCUAGAUGCAUGAUUGGACUUCAGUGAUUUGUUACCUUAUAUAUAAACUAUAAAAGGAAUUCACAACUUAAAGAAUUUAAUAGAAUGGAUAACAUGCAAUAAACAGCCACUCAUAAAGAAUCAGUGGAUUCUUGAUACUAGGAUUCUAUCUACAUCCAAUCUAAAUUGUCAAGAGAAUUGUAACUGGCAUCUAAAUGACAGAGAUACAGUUCUGAGAAUUAUGAGAGUGAACAAAAUAAAAGGAGAAAAAGCACAGUUUAAAAAAAGAACGUGCAUAAUCCUGGUAACAGAAUUAGGUUUUUGGCGAGAAGUCAGUAGGCUGAAUUUAAAUGUUAAUUUUGAUCUGUAGAGCAGAAUGUGCUUGAUAAUAAAGGUUAGAUUUUAUUUUAUUUUUUUAGUAAGUAUCCUAUCACACAGUGAGAUUUAUAUCCUAAUUAGUUUAUAACCCUGUAGCUAGUCCAUCUUACAAACAAUUAGCUGAGAGAUUUUCUUAGUCUAGUGUUUCAUAUGAGUGCAAUAAUUUCUGUUUUCUUCCUCCUGUCCUCUUCAUUGCUUUCCCCUCUUGUUAAUAGCCUUGGGAAAAAAAAAGAAAAAAGAAAAAAGAAAAAAAACCACAGGGAUCUCCUGGAAAGAGUCCAGCAUAGGGCCACAAAGAUGAUAAAGGCCAUAGAGCACCUCUCUUAUGAGGAAAGGAUGAAUCACCUGGGUCUGUUCAGCUCUGAAAAAAGACUGAGAGGGGAUCUUAUUAAUAUUUAUAAAUAUCUUAAGUGUGGGAGUCAAAGCAACAUGACAAACCAGUUUUCAGCGGUCUGUGACGAGGAGAAAUGGCCAUAAACUGGAGUAUAGGAAGUUCUACACCAAUAUGCAAAGGACUUCUUCACACUAAGGGUGAUGGAGAACUGGAACAGGCUGCCCAGGGAGGUUGUAGAUUCUCCUUCUCUGGAGAUAAUCAAGACCUGCCUGGACGCCUACCUGUAUAGGGGACCUAGUCUGCUGUAGGGGGCCUGCUUUGCAGCAGGAUUGGACUUGAUGAUCUCUGGAGGUCCCUUUCAACUCUUGCAAUUCUGUGAUUCCAUGGAAAGCAAAACCUAAAGGGUAAAAACAACCCAAGCUGUAGAUGAUAUUAAAGAAUACAACUUAUAACAUCGUAGCUUUUUCCUAUGAAACAAGUUAGGACCAUUAUUUCUCAGAUUACAACAUCUCUGAUUGAUGUAUGUAUAAGAACAUUUUGUGCAGAUAACAGUAUAAAGUUUAUACAGCUAAUAGUGGAAAAAUCGGAUUCAAUACUUUGUGUCUGAGACGUGAAGAAUAGCUUCAUAUUCUUUAAGUUCCAUUCUUUGAGCUAAAUUAAUCACUUCUACUGUUCUGUCAUCAAUUGUCCACUGAUAUUUGAAAAUCACAGAGCCUACAUUUUAAAGCUAUUGUACUGUACAUGUUGUACAACAGCUGUUAGACAUCAUUUAAAGAGGAAAACAUUUCUGCAAACACAUAUAAGACAUCAGGAAAUAAACUUACAGAAGCAAUUCCUUUAGGCUAAAACCUGACAUAAGGAAAUAAACUAAUGCACACUAAAAUAGAUUUAAUAAGCAUUUCAAUCGGAACAUAUAUAGCCUUCUUUCUUAAGAUGAGAGCAAGAAUACUGAUCUUGGUAGAAUAAGCCAAGUAAGAAGACAAAUGCUUUGACCAUAGCAGAUUCAAAUGAGGAUAUACAGUAUAUUGGUUGCGUGCCAAUUGCUGAUGUUCUAAACAAAGUCUAAGUACAAAGCAUUCAUAACCUUUCACAGUCAAGUUAGCAAUUUAAUUUGUGUUCAAAACUGACUUUGGCAUCAUCAGGAAUACACACUCACAAAUCAAGUGUUUUAAAAAUGGAUUGUUCUGAUAAAGAGAAAAAAAAUGAGUUUAUAAAAGGGAAUUAACAAAAUCAUGAAAGUAUAUUUAAAACUACUGAUAAUUAUUUAAAUACAUUUCAGGGCAGAGAUAACAGCAAAACUUGGCCAUGCUUGCUGAUUCAAGGAAUAAAAUGAAGUACAUUUUCUGUAAUUACAUUUUCUUAGAAUCAUAGAAUCGUUAAGGUUGGAAAAGACCCACAGGUUCAUCCAGUCCAACCAUUCGCCCUUCACCAAUGGUUCUCGCUAAACCAUGUCCCUCAACACAACAUCCAAACGCUCUUUGAACACCACCAGGCUCGGUGACUCCACCACCUCCCUGGGCAGCCCAUUCCAGUGCCUGACCACCCUUUCAGAGAAGUAGUUCUUCCUAACGUCCAGCCUGAAUCUUCCCUGGCGCAGCUUGAAGCCAUUCCCUCUAGUCCUAUCACUAGUCACACGAGAGAAGAGGCUGACCCCCAGCUCACUACAACCUCCCUUCAGGUAGUUACAGAGAGCAAUAAGGUCUCCCCUGAGCCUCCUCUUCUCUGGACUGAACAAUCCCA